Molecule: ribosomal RNA, 282 nt
Filed under: Bacillus toyonensis
Lineage: Bacteria; Bacillati; Bacillota; Bacilli; Caryophanales; Bacillaceae
Description: partial 16S ribosomal RNA
Rfam family: Bacterial small subunit ribosomal RNA
Source: RNAcentral
UUUAUUGGAGAGUUUGAUCCUGGCUCAGGAUGAACGCUGGCGGCGUGCCUAAUACAUGCAAGUCGAGCGAAUGGAUUGAGAGCUUGCUCUCAAGAAGUUAGCGGCGGACGGGUGAGUAACACGUGGGUAACCUGCCCAUAAGACUGGGAUAACUCCGGGAAACCGGGGCUAAUACCGGAUAACAUUUUGAACUGCAUGGUUCGAAAUUGAAAGGCGGCUUCGGCUGUCACUUAUGGAUGGACCCGCGUCGCAUUAGCUAGUUGGUGAGGUAACGGCUCACCA